RNAcentral lists this long non-coding RNA (289 nucleotides) under Elaeis guineensis (African oil palm). RNAcentral's name for it is "long non-coding RNA (EGUI_LNC077376)". The record is from RNAcentral. Lineage: Eukaryota; Viridiplantae; Streptophyta; Magnoliopsida; Arecales; Arecaceae.
GGAAUUACUUUAAUUCUUUAGUGGGUACUAGAAUCCACACAGACUACACACGAGCCCAACUUUGGUUGGUCAACCCAUGUGCAUCUAUGGAUAGGUUCAUAACCAGUUGUUUCUCUAAACAACUUCUAGUAAUUGAUUUUGCCCCAGAACCUAAUCAGUAGGCUUUGGCCUCCACUAAAAAGAUCUGGUUAGGUCCAACCAUUAACAUGACUUGAUUUGGUGAAUCGGACCAAUAAAUGAUCAGGCCCGACUUUGGCCGGCCAACCUGACCACCAUCAGAAAGACUCAA